CGCACCGGCAGUGGGAAGUCCUCCUUCUCUCUUGCCUUCUUCCGCAUGGUGGACACGUUCGAAGGUGAGUUGUAAGGCGGGCACCCCACGUGUACCCACAGCCACCAGAUGAGGCCUCAGCCCUGGCACGUGGUCAGACAUGACAGGAGGCCCAGCAGUCACCGCCUUCCCCUGCACCCUCACUGGGACCCAUGCAGGGCACAUCAUCAUUGAUGGCAUUGACAUCGCCAAACUGCCGCUGCACACCCUGCGCUCACGCCUCUCCAUCAUCCUGCAGGACCCCGUCCUCUUCAGCGGCACCAUCCGAUGCCAUCAUCACAGAAGGCGGGGAGAAUUUCAGCCAGGGGCAGAGGCAGCUGUUCUGCCUGGCUCGGGCCUUCGUGAGGAAGACCAGCAUCUUCAUCAUGGACGAGGCCACGGCUUCCAUUGACAUGGCCACGGAAAACAUCCUCCAAAAGGUGGUGAUGACAGCCUUCGCAGACCGCACUGUGGUCACCAUCGCGCUGCAGGAGGGCCACCCUCAGCUGUGGCCCCCACCGCGGGUGGUGUUCCCACCAUCCUGACCCGCCCCCUCCUGCCCUGCCCAGCAUCGAGUGCACACCAUCCUGAGUGCAGACCUGGUGAUCGUCCUGAAGCGGGGUGCCAUCCUUGAGUUCGAUAAGCCAGAGAAGCUGC
This 675-nucleotide small RNA is filed under the name Pan troglodytes (chimpanzee). RNAcentral's name for it is "retained intron". Lineage: Eukaryota; Metazoa; Chordata; Mammalia; Primates; Hominidae. The record is from RNAcentral.